GACGAACGCUGGCGGCGUGCUUAACACAUGCAAGUCGAACGGAAAGGCCCUGCUUUUGUGGUGUGCUCGAGUGGCGAACGGGUGAGUAACACGUGAGUAACCUGCCCUUGACUUUGGGAUAACUUCAGGAAACUGGGGCUAAUACCGGAUAGGAGCUCCUGCUGCAUGGUGGGGGUUGGAAAGUUUCGGCGGUUGGGGAUGGACUCGCGGCUUAUCAGCUUGUUGGUGGGGUAGUGGCUUACCCAGGCUUUGACGGGUAGCCGGCAUGGGAGGGUGACCGGCCACAUGGGGACUGAGGUACGGCCCAGACUGCUACGGGGGGCAGCAGUGGGGAAUAUUGCACAAUGGGCGGGAGCCUGUGGCAGCAACGCCGCGUGCGGGAUGACGGCCUUCGGGUUGUAAACCGCUUUCGCCUGUGACGAAGCGUGAGUGACGGUAAUGGGUAAAGAAGCACCGGCUAACUACGUG
Molecule: ribosomal RNA, 468 nt
Filed under: uncultured bacterium
Lineage: Bacteria
Description: partial 16S ribosomal RNA
Rfam family: Bacterial small subunit ribosomal RNA
Source: RNAcentral